RNAcentral lists this ribosomal RNA (1209 nucleotides) under metagenome. RNAcentral's name for it is "bacterial SSU rRNA". It matches the Rfam family "Bacterial small subunit ribosomal RNA", at positions 279 to 1498 of the family's 1533-position model. The record is from RNAcentral.
AUCAGUAGGGGUUCUGAGAGGAAGGUCCCCCACAUUGGAACUGAGACACGGUCCAAACUCCUACGGGAGGCAGCAGUGAGGAAUAUUGGUCAAUGGGCGAGAGCCUGAACCAGCCAAGUAGCGUGCAGGAUGACGGCCCUAUGGGUUGUAAACUGCUUUUAUAGGGGAAUAAAGUGAUCCACGUGUGGUUUCUUGCAUGUACCCUAUGAAUAAGGACCGGCUAAUUCCGUGCCAGCAGCCGCGGUAAUACGGAAGGUCCGGGCGUUAUCCGGAUUUAUUGGGUUUAAAGGGAGCGUAGGCCGGAGAUUAAGCGUGUUGUGAAAUGUAGAUGCUCAACAUCUGCACUGCAGCGCGAACUGGUUUCCUUGAGUACGCAUAAAGUGGGCGGAAUUCGUGGUGUAGCGGUGAAAUGCUUAGAUAUCACGAAGAACUCCGAUUGCGAAGGCAGCUCACUGGGGCGCAACUGACGCUGAAGCUCGAAAGCGCGGGUAUCGAACAGGAUUAGAUACCCUGGUAGUCCGCGCGGUAAACGAUGGAUGCCCGCUGUUGGGCCAACUGGUUCAGCGGCCAAGCGAAAGCAUUAAGCAUCCCACCUGGGGAGUACGCCGGCAACGGUGAAACUCAAAGGAAUUGACGGGGGCCCGCACAAGCGGAGGAACAUGUGGUUUAAUUCGAUGAUACGCGAGGAACCUUACCCGGGCUUGAAUUGCAGAGGAAGGAUUUGGAGACAAUGACGCCCUUCGGGGCCUCUGUGAAGGUGCUGCAUGGUUGUCGUCAGCUCGUGCCGUGAGGUGUCGGCUUAAGUGCCAUAACGAGCGCAACCCCUCUCCAUAGUUGCCAUCAGGUUAAGCUGGGCACUCUGUGGACACUGCCACCGUAAGGUGUGAGGAAGGUGGGGAUGACGUCAAAUCAGCACGGCCCUUACGUCCGGGGCUACACACGUGUUACAAUGGCAGGUACAGAGAGCCGGUCGUAUGCAAAUACGAUCCAAUCCUUAAAGCCUGUCUCAGUUCGGACUGGGGUCUGCAACCCGACCCCACGAAGCUGGAUUCGCUAGUGAUCGCGCAUCAGCCAUGGCGCGGUGAAUACGUUCCCGGGCCUUGUACACACCGCCCGUCAAGCCAUGAGAGCCGGGGGCGCCUGAAGUCCGUGACCGCAAGGAUCGGCCUAGGGCGAAACUGGUAAUUGGGGCUAAGUCGUAACAAGGUA